CCCUUAGAUGUUCUGGGCCGCACGCGCGCUACACUGAUGCGUUCAACGAGUAUACAACCUUGAUCGAUAGGUCUGGGUAAUCUUCUGAAUGCGCAUCGUGCUAGGGAUAGAUUGUUGCAAUUUUCAAUCUUGAACGAGGAAUUCCCAGUAAGCGCGAGUCAUAAGCUCGCGUUGAUUACGUCCCUGCCCUUUGUACACACCGCCCGUCGCUACUACCGAUUGAACGGUUUAGUGAGGGCCUCGGAUUGGUCUCGGCCCGCUCUUUACCGGGCGGCGCCGUUGGUCGAGAAGACGCUCGAACUUGAUCGUUUAGAGGAAGUAAAAGUCGUAACA
Molecule: ribosomal RNA, 333 nt
Filed under: uncultured eukaryote
Lineage: Eukaryota
Description: partial 18S ribosomal RNA
Rfam family: Eukaryotic small subunit ribosomal RNA
Source: RNAcentral